UUGAGAACCGGGGCGGCUCCGGCCGUCCCAACCCACACCUCGUGAACUUGUAACUGGGGAGGGCCUCUACUACUCGGGCAACCGGGGAACGGGCCCGACCCGCCCGUCGGCCUCGGCCGGCGGCAAUCUUUGCACCUGUCGUCAUGAAUGGCCUGAAAGCAAACUAAAGAGUA
This 173-nucleotide unclassified non-coding RNA is filed under the name uncultured fungus. Its description in RNAcentral is "sequence contains ITS1, 5.8S rRNA gene". Lineage: Eukaryota; Fungi. The record is from RNAcentral.